This 253-nucleotide ribosomal RNA is filed under the name uncultured bacterium. RNAcentral's name for it is "partial 16S ribosomal RNA". It matches the Rfam family "Bacterial small subunit ribosomal RNA", at positions 524 to 776 of the family's 1533-position model. The record is from RNAcentral.
UACGUAGGGACCGAGCGUUGUCCGGAUUCAUUGGGCGUAAAGAGCUCGUAGGCGGCUGCUCAAGUCGAAUGUGAAAACUCGAGGCUCAACCUCGAGACGUCGGCGGAAACCAUCUGGCUAGAGUCCGGAAGAGGAGAGUGGAAUUCCUGGUGUAGCGGUGAAAUGCGCAGAUAUCAGGAAGAACACCCGUGGCGAAGGCGGGUCUCUGGGCCGAUACUGACGCUGAGGAGCGAAAGCGUGGGGAGCGAACAGG